RNAcentral lists this ribosomal RNA (245 nucleotides) under uncultured bacterium. RNAcentral's name for it is "partial 16S ribosomal RNA". It matches the Rfam family "Bacterial small subunit ribosomal RNA", at positions 125 to 354 of the family's 1533-position model. The record is from RNAcentral.
CGUGCCUUGUAGUGGGGAAUAACAGUGAGAAAUCACUGCUAAUACCGCAUAGACUCUACUAAUCGCAUGAUUAAAAGAGGAAAGAUGGCGAUCCGAAAGGAGCUAUCGCUAGAAGAGCGACCCGCGUCUGAUUAGCUAGUUGGUGAGGUAAAGGCUCACCAAGGCGACGAUCAGUAGCCGGCCUGAGAGGGUGAACGGCCACAUUGGGACUGAGACACGGCCCAAACUCCUACGGAAGGCAGCAG